This is an RNA transcript of Musa acuminata AAA Group (dessert banana), 2492 nucleotides long. It is a transcript of the gene named meiotic recombination protein SPO11-2, with no coding region annotated. Lineage: Eukaryota; Viridiplantae; Streptophyta; Magnoliopsida; Zingiberales; Musaceae. The record is from RefSeq and is a predicted model, not a curated record. The transcript has 14 exons.
GUACAGAAUGUGUAGAAGCCUGGAUUAUAGCUUUGGAGUCUUUAUUGGAGCUAACAAUUAAGCUUAAUGAAAAUAAUGUGCUGAUUAUUAAGUAAUAUCUAUCAAAUUGUAACGUUCUUUAUAAUGACAAAAUGGAUCCUGGUAAUGCCUUAAUCGGGUUCGGGUUCGGGUUCUAUUAUUCGGGUUGGAGGAUGGAAGAUCCGGAUCCGUGUGGAUUCGAGCGAGUGGGUGUUUGCCUCCCCCGAGCCACUAUAAAAUCGGCAUCUGUUCGGAUACUACCACCGUUCGCGUGGAAAUGGAGCCGGAUCUCCUCAAAUCAUCGCUUUUCCACGCCGAUCAGCGGCUCUGCUCCGCCGAAAUCCUUCCUCCUUCGCAGGUUUGCAGAUCACGAUCUUCUCUCCUCCUCGUCUUCUUCAUCGUUAUAUGCUUUGUUGGCUCGAAGUUUCUCUUGCAAUGGUCUCCAGGUGCGGGCAAGAAUCGAAGUCGCCGUCCUCAAUUUCCUUAAGAACCUCACUGCUUCCAACCCCGCCAUAUCCGAUCUCCCCUUGAUCAGUAGGAAGUACGAUAACAGUGGGUUACGUCAUGGGCUUUUGAGUGAUGUUUCUUCGGUCUUUCUCUCUCACUCUGUCUGCACAAGGUCUCUCAUGAGAGCAAAUGAUGCGAAGGCGUUUGUUAGAGUGUGGAUGGUUAUGGCAAUGUGCUUUCGGAUUCUUGUCCAAGGGAAGCUUGCUACCCAGAGGGAGCUUUUCUAUAAGCUGCUUUGUGACGCACCGGAAUAUUUCAGGUCACAGCGUCAGGUCAACAGAACAGUACAAGAUGUUGUGGCAUUGCUCCGUUGCACUCGGCAUAGUCUAGGCAUCAUGGCAUCCAGCAGAGGUGCAGUUAUUGGACGCAUGGUGUUAGAGAUAUUACUGCCAUGGGAGUCAACCUACAGAACAACCAAAGAUUUUGAAAACAUAUCAACUGAGCCUGGUGAACAGAUUGUUGAUUGUUCCAUGAUUGGACAUGCUGGCUAUGCUAUAACUGGGGACCUUUGUACGUUGAGCAAACUUGUUCUACAUUCUGAUGCUCGAUAUAUCAUUAUAAUAGAGAAGGAUGCUAUAUUUCAGCGGUUGGCAGAAGAUCACUUCUUCAAUCAAAUACCAUGCAUAUUAAUCACUUCCAAAGGAUAUCCUGAUAUUGCCACAAGGUUUUUACUGCAUCGGAUAAGCCAGACUUUUCCAGACAUGACAAUCUUGGCUUUAAUGGAUUGGAACCCAGCUGGAUUGGCAAUACUAUGUACCUACAAGUUUGGAAGCAUAACUACUGGUUUAGAGUCAUACAGAUAUGCUUGCAAUGUUAAAUGGCUUGGACUGCGAGCAGAUGAUCUGCAGAUUAUACCUCAACAAGUGAUGAUGCAGUUGAAGCCACAUGAGAUAAAAACAGCUAAAAGCCUAAUGUCUUCCAAGUUGUUGCAGGAGAGGUACCAGGCUGAGUUGUCACUGAUGGUUGAGAGGGGCCAUCGUGCAGAAAUUGAAGCUCUGUACUGUCAUGGAUUUGAUUUCUUGGGAAAAUAUAUAGCAAAGAAGAUUGUACAGGCUGAUUACAUUUAAUGUGAUACUACUCCAGGAAGUAAGAUGGAGAAGAGCAGCAAGGUUCAUUGGAGAGGCAAACGGUAAGCCACAUUGGACCUUCAUGAACGCAGUUUCAGCGAAGAGAUUAAUGCGCAGGCUCGUGCGCGCACACGCGCGGACGCGGAGGGAGACGAGCGCCAAUUGCUGCAAAAGGAAGUAACGCCACAGCCGACAGUUACGGUGGUGGGCGAGGAGAUGCUCGUGGUUGGGAUCUAACCACAUUCGAGAUCAGACGACAGGAGCACGCAGGACUUGACAGGUUUUGUUCUUUUGUUUUGCUGGCCCGUGACGUGCCCAUGGAUGGACAGAGGGAUGGAGGGAGUGCAAAACAUGGACACGAACUCUUGCUGCUGUCGCAGCUGGGGCCUUGUCGUGCAUGAGAUUCUUGCACACCAACAUGCUUUGGUUUCUGCAACUACGAUUUAAUUGCCUGGCAUAUGCAGUAAUCUUGAUCGCCACCUGAUGAUAGAUUUGCAAGUGUUUGCCAACACUUCCCCACCUGUAAUGUUUGAAGAACUGCAACUCAGAGUUCAAAGAACAUUGAAGAGUUGAAGCACAUAGUUCUUGGUAGCCUAUCUUCACUGGCCAAGUGGGAAUUUGCACGUUUAGAGGGCAAAAUUAGUAGUACCUCCCGUCCUCUCUGCCUGUGCCUCGUGCAGUACAUAGGAGACGAGCAAACUCCAAGGACUGUACCUGCAGAUUAAUUAGCUCGAUAGUCAUGUCUCUUGUUUGCUUCUGUAUUACUCCUAUGGCUUAGGAAGUUUGCUACCAAGACACCUGCAAGGACUACAUGUAUUAAUACUUAAGGUUAUCGAAAAGGGUAUCCCUACAAGACAAAUGACCUAGUAUUACGUGGCAUCACUGUUCAAGGAACAAAUG